Molecule: unclassified non-coding RNA, 385 nt
Filed under: Hevea brasiliensis (rubber tree)
Lineage: Eukaryota; Viridiplantae; Streptophyta; Magnoliopsida; Malpighiales; Euphorbiaceae
Source: RNAcentral
AAUCCAUAUUUGAUCUCUUUAUAGUCCCAAACUAAAUAAAACAAUGAUUAAAAUACAUAAUUUAAAAAAAAAAAUAAAGCUAUUACAGUUAUACAUAUUAGAAAUUCACAUUAUAAUCAAAUGAUUCUUUUUUAAAUAACAAAAAAAGACAUAUUAAUAAAAAAAAUACUCUCUAUAGCAAGACAACAUAAACACAGGACUUUUCCUAUUUAUUAAAUCCACCGUCUAUAUUACAUAGAAACAUACAACUUUGCAAACACAACAACAAAUUACAAAUCGAGAGCCCAAAAAAGAAAUCUAGUUGCACAGCUCACGAGCGAUUCCUAAGCGAGAAUUGGGCGCAUCAAACAAGAUCCUAAGGUUCUGCUGCUGCAAGUUGGCUAUA